Long non-coding RNA from Onychostoma macrolepis, 749 nucleotides. RefSeq lists it as uncharacterized. The record is from RefSeq and is a predicted model, not a curated record. The transcript has 3 exons. Lineage: Eukaryota; Metazoa; Chordata; Actinopteri; Cypriniformes; Cyprinidae.
UAUUUCCUGUUCGAGAGUGGAGCGCCACUCGCCCACGGUCUGCAGCAGCCAGAACCCUCUCACUGCUGAAGCAAGUGGCUGCUCGGCUCUGUUCUGCUUCCAUCAAAUCAAAGCGAUCCAAAAUCAUCGUUUUCUACUGUUGAAGGCUCUUCACUAAUGCCCUGAUGGCACAAUUCAAUAUGAAGGGGAAGGGGGAAAAGGGCAAGAAAUCUUUGGAGUAGACACAGGUUUAUAGAGUAAUAAAAGAUGCAGUCAUGAAAUUUGAUGACACAGCCACAGAGGACUUCAUAAGGAUGACCGCUUCAGAGCAUCUGAAGCAUGCACCGCAAAGACGUGGAGGUGGAGGACACGCAGCAGUCACUCGGGACUGAUUAUCCAUUGUGGAGAAUCUUUUGUACAUUGUCUUUCCUGUUUUUAGUAUAGUUGCUUAUGGUUCAAUUUUACCACAAAACACAUUCGGUUAAGCACUUUAAUUUUUAUUGUUGUACAUUUGUUGUUGUGGUACAGACCCACGCAAGGUAGGCUGUGUAACUUUAUUCAUUUAUUAUAAUUUUUGUUUGGAUUUUACCACCAGUGUUGAUUUUAGAAAGUUUUUAGGUUACGAUGCACAACAUUGAAGUGAUUUAUGCAAGCCAUUAAAUUCAUGUUCCUAGAUUUUAAUUGUAGUCGGCAGAAAAUUUAACUAGUCAAAGCUUAUUAGUGACGUUUGUGCCAGUUAAAAACAAUAAAGAUGGAAAUAAGUGAGUGGU